UACGUAGGUGGCAAGCGUUGUCCGGAUUUACUGGGCGUAAAGAGCGCGCAGGCGGUCGUACAAGUCGCGUGUGAAAGCCCCCGGCUCAACUGGGGAGGGUCACGCGAUACUGUUCGACUCGAAGGCAGGAGAGGGAAGCAGAAUUCCCGGUGUAGUGGUGAAAUGCGUAGAUAUCGGGAGGAAUACCAGUGGCGAAGGCGGCUUCCUGGACCAUAACUGACGCUGAGGCGCGAAAGCUAGGGGAGCAAACGGG
RNAcentral lists this ribosomal RNA (253 nucleotides) under uncultured bacterium. Its description in RNAcentral is "partial 16S ribosomal RNA". It matches the Rfam family "Bacterial small subunit ribosomal RNA", at positions 524 to 776 of the family's 1533-position model. The record is from RNAcentral.